CAGUCGCCGCGGGAAUACGUAGGGUGCAAGCGUUAAUCGGAAUUACUGGGCGUAAAGCGUGCGCAGGCGGCUAUGCAAGACAGAUGUGAAAUCCCCGGGCUCAACCUGGGAACUGCAUUUGUGACUGCAUGGCUAGAGUACGGUAGAGGGGGAUGGAAUUCCGCGUGUAGCAGUGAAAUGCGUAGAUAUGCGGAGGAACACCGAUGGCGAAGGCAAUCCCCUGGACCUGUACUGACGCUCAUGCACGAAAGCGUGGUGAGCAAACAGGAUUAGAUACCCCAGUAGUCCCUGUCUCUUAUAC
RNAcentral lists this ribosomal RNA (301 nucleotides) under uncultured bacterium. Its description in RNAcentral is "partial 16S ribosomal RNA". It matches the Rfam family "Bacterial small subunit ribosomal RNA", at positions 509 to 807 of the family's 1533-position model. The record is from RNAcentral.